UCCAUGCCAUCCUCACUUUCUCCUUUCUCUCCAAUGCCCAAGGGUUGGGCAUCCCAUCUUCCCACACACCAAAGUUGAGGGUGAUUUCUUCUAUAUCAAGAAGCAAGAAGAAAUACUGCAGUUUAAGUGUUGAAAUAGCAGUCAAAGAUCAACAUUUGAUCAAAGAUCCAAAAGGUUAAGAUUCAUCUUGAAGAAGAUGGAUAAAGUAUGAGAAGAAAGGUUCAAGAUUGAUCCUGAUGGAUACCUAUAGAGAUCGGAC
RNAcentral lists this long non-coding RNA (259 nucleotides) under Elaeis guineensis (African oil palm). Its description in RNAcentral is "long non-coding RNA (EGUI_LNC058563)". The record is from RNAcentral. Lineage: Eukaryota; Viridiplantae; Streptophyta; Magnoliopsida; Arecales; Arecaceae.